GAAUACCGGUGGCGAAGGCGGCCCCCUGGACAAAGACUGACGCUCAGGUGCGAAAGCGUCGGGGAGCAAACAGGAUUAGAUACCCUGGUAGUCCACGCCGUAAACGAUGUCGACUUGGAGGUUGUGCCCUUGAGGCGUGGCUUCCGGAGCUAACGCGUUAAGUCGACCGCCUGGGGAGUACGGCCGCAAGGUUAAAACUCAAAUGAAUUGACGGGGGCCCGCACAAGCGGUGGAGCAUGUGGUUUAAUUCGAUGCAACGCGAAGAACCUUACCUACUCUUGACAUCCAGAGAACUUAGCAGAGAUGGUUUGGUGCCUUCGGGAACUCUGAGACAGGUGCUGCAUGGCUGUCGUCAGCUCGUGUUGUGAAAUGUUGGGUUAAGUCCCGCAACGAGCGCAACCCUUAUCCUUUGUUGCCAGCGGUUCGGCCGGGAACUCAAAGGAGACUGCCAGUGAUAAACUGGAGGAAGGUGGGGAUGACGUCAAGUCAUCAUGGCCCUUACGAGUAGGGCUACACACGUGCUACAAUGGCGCAUACAAAGAGAAGCGACCUCGCGAGAGCAAGCGGACCUCAUAAAGUGCGUCGUAGUCCGGAUUGGAGUCUGCAACUCGACUCCAUGAAGUCGGAAUCGCUAGUAAUCGUAGAUCAGAAUGCUACGGUGAAUACGUUCCCGGGCCUUGUACACACCGCCCGUCACACCAUGGGAGUGGGUUGCAAAAGAAGUAGGUAGCUUAACCUUCGGGAGGGCGCUUACCACUUUGUGAUUCAU
RNAcentral lists this ribosomal RNA (769 nucleotides) under Enterobacter sp. CLHS 2-1. RNAcentral's name for it is "bacterial SSU rRNA". It matches the Rfam family "Bacterial small subunit ribosomal RNA", at positions 704 to 1472 of the family's 1533-position model. The record is from RNAcentral. Lineage: Bacteria; Pseudomonadati; Pseudomonadota; Gammaproteobacteria; Enterobacterales; Enterobacteriaceae.